AAAAACCCUCUUUAAACUAUUCCAAAUCAGCAUCUCAUCAGUUAGGGCCUCUUGUAUUAGGGUUUGUCAGAGAAUCAGAGAGAAAAGCCCUCUUUAAACUAUUCUAAAUCAGCAUCUUAACUUCCUCUUCUCUUUCUAAAUCUCAGUUAGGGCCUCUUCUAUUAGGGUUUGUGAGGCCCAUAACCUAUUCUUUCUUCCUUCUUCUCUCUAGAAACCCAGGCUAUGAGCCCAGCCUUAUUUUUUUAUCUUCUUUCUUCCUUCUUCUAUCUCUAAACUGUAACCUUCUUCUCUCUCACUUCCUUCUUCCUC
RNAcentral lists this long non-coding RNA (309 nucleotides) under Amborella trichopoda. RNAcentral's name for it is "long non-coding RNA (ATRI_LNC000353)". Lineage: Eukaryota; Viridiplantae; Streptophyta; Magnoliopsida; Amborellales; Amborellaceae. The record is from RNAcentral.